RNAcentral lists this non-coding RNA (28 nucleotides) under Rattus norvegicus (Norway rat). The record is from RNAcentral. Lineage: Eukaryota; Metazoa; Chordata; Mammalia; Rodentia; Muridae.
UGGAGAGGAAAUUAACUUGAGACAGGAA